GAUGAACGCUGACAGCAUGCUUAACACAUGCAAGUCUACUUGAACUUCGGUUUGGGUGGCGGACGGGUGAGUAACGCGUAAAGAACUUGCCUCACAGUUAGGGACAACAUUUGGAAACGAAUGCUAAUACCUGAUAUUAUGAUUUUAGGGCAUCCUAGGAUUAUGAAAGCUAUAUGUGCUGUGAGAGAGCUUUGCGUCCCAUUAGCUAGUUGGAGAGGUAACGGCUCACGAAGGCGAUGAUGGGUAGCCGGCCUGAGAGGGUGAACGGCCACAAGGGGACUGAGACACGGCCCUUACUCCUACGGGAGGCAGCAGUGGGGAAUAUUGGACAAUGGACCAAGAGUCUGAUCCAGCAAUUCUGUGUGCACGAUGACGUUUUUCGGAAUGUAAAGUGCUUUCAGUUGAGAAGAAAAAAAUGACGGUACCAACAGAAGAAGUGACGGCUAAAUACGUG
This 454-nucleotide ribosomal RNA is filed under the name uncultured bacterium. RNAcentral describes it as "partial 16S ribosomal RNA". It matches the Rfam family "Bacterial small subunit ribosomal RNA", at positions 28 to 507 of the family's 1533-position model. The record is from RNAcentral.